CUUAGUUGAUGAUAUGGAAGUUGAACUAACCAAGCCUAUGAAGGAUUUUGGAGGUGAAGAACAAGACAUUUUUAUUUUGGAGUUUGUCAUGCUAAAAUGACAAAAUGACAUCCCUCACUUGAAGGCCAAAAAGUGCAAAAUGCGAUACCCGAGGGUUGGCCUCUUUUCUUUUGUACCACCGCCCCAAGAGCAUAACCGAAAACUUGAUUUAAAGUUGGGGAAUCAAUUCAUAUCCUCAAAGUGGAGGGAAAAGUGGUAAAGUUAAUUCAUGUCAUGCCAUAACGUAAAAUAUGGCGCUUUAUGGGACGCAACCCAUAUUUCCUUUAUUUUUCAAAAGUUUAUUUUUUAUUUUUUUAUUUUUUUAAUCAAUUUGCCAAAUUUCACAUUUUCUGGAAUCAGUUUGGACAGUUCAGGAAUUUGUAGCAGUUUACACAACAGUGAAAAAUAAUAUUACUAGUGGUGGGAGUUGAUUUUAUAAGCAUUGCAGGGAAUUAGCAUAUACUCAACUUUGGGCAUUUGGGUUAAGUCACAAGGCCCACAAGGCUACAGGUAAGUAAACUUUUAAAGACUUAACUCCCAGGCCCCUCCUCUUACUCCCUGUCAACACAUAACUCCCAGGCCCCUCCUCUUAUUCCCUCUCAAAACAUAUAAUUCUAUGCAACUCCCUUCUCCCUAAUAUUCUUCAAUCACUGAACCACCACCGGCAGUCCACCUGCCGCAUCCUGUGGUAGCAUUGUUCUUGUGGCUCGACAAGUCCUGAAUGUGAUGGCAUGGAUCGAUUUUAACUUUCAAAGCUUUAAACCAUGAUUACAGAGGUGCUAAACUGGCAUAGUGAACAAACACUUCAGCUGGUACUUUUUGAUAUAGGAUGACUUCUAGUCUAUCCGAGAAAGCUCAAGGAGGCGCGGAACAAUUUUCUCACCCUUAUGCUCGAGCUUCAUGACACCAUCUUUUCAGGGAGUCCCUUCUAACUUGAGCUUUAUUUUAUUUAGUUACGUUGAGGACAAUGCAACAUUUUUAGUGGGGGUGACUCAUUUAUUUGUAAUGAUGUAUGGUGAUAUGGUUGGCGGACUUGAUGGAUUUGGUAGAUUAACUUUUAGUUUUGUUAUUUUUGUUUUUGUGUCAUGUUUAUUUUAGUAUGAUUUGUUUUUCAUUACUAGCUUCUUCAGUUUUUUUUUUGCUAGUUAAUUUUUUUUAGUAGAAAUAUCCUUAGCUUUUCUUUGUGCCGCGGUUCUUUUUCCGAGGAGGCUAAUUUUCUUUUGAACUGGGUGUUUUUGGGUAGAUUUUGUGGUGUGAGUUGUGAUGUUUGCUCCUCCGUCAUUUUGUGGUUUGCUUGGUACCAACAUGAUUUAAACCAUGGCAUAUGAGUUCUUGAAUUUUUUUUUUUAUUAAAAUGAUAAUUCUUGUUCUGACCUUUAGACGCAAUUCUUGGCUCUUUCUUUCACUAAUUAGUCUAUUUAGAUUAAAAGUGACUUUUUGAGUUCAUUUGUUUCAAUUGAUUUUGGAGACAUCUUCUACAUGAGUUUCAUAUGCCAUGUGUGGUGAGGUUUAUUUGUGAGUUCUUUUGCAUUAUUUUUGGUCUAGAACUUGCCCGGAAUGUGUUUCACGGCGAAAUUCUACACUAACUUGGUUUGAAAAAAUGAUGUUAGGCCUUCCUUGGACCAUUUUUGUGACUUAAAUUUCCUACCCUUGCAUAUUUUCCCAAGUCAAUCCCUUUGAGCCUUUAACCUUUUCUUUGACAAGCAUGUUACAAGCUUUACCUUUUUGUUCUUCAAUGGUUCUAUCUUUUGGCACCCUAUCUCCCUAAGUGCUUUAAAAGUGAAAAUAUAGGCGAAAAGCCUAAGUUUGGGGGUGUGGUUGGAAAAAGUUGCGAUGCGGGAGUUGCUUGAAAGGUGAAUAGGUGAAAAAAAAAAGAGGAAAAAAAAGUGAAACCUUCCUUUUUUUUUAAAACAAAAAAACAACAAAAGGAAUGAAGAAAAGGAAGGAAGAAUAAAGAGUUGUGAAUAAUGGAAGACUAGGUGUUUAAAAAAAAAAGAGAUGAAGCAAAGGUUGAUAAAGUCUUGAAAGGAAGUGUGCUUUGAAUUAUUGCAAUUGGUAGUGCUUAUGGAGGUUUUGAGUCACUAUUUUCAAAUUAUGCCCCUACCUUAACCCAAAGCCUACAUGACAACCCUUUAAGUCCUAAUUAAUUUUGAACCAAGUGUGUGUACAUUUGUGGAGAAAUACAUGAAGGGCAAGCCUAUGGUUCUACGUGUAUGAAAUUAAACAUCUUUGUGAGAGAGAGUUAAUUUUUUCUAUUUGAUAUCUCAUUUGUGUUUUGAAUACAUUUUCUAAGUGUGGAUUCUCUCUUGAGUGUGAAGGCACAAGAGAAUUUGAGUUGUGAAUUUUUUCCAUUUUUCAAUUGAGAGAAAUGAACAAAAGAAAGUUGUUUUGUGAUAAUGAGGCAAAUUUUGAAGCUUUAGUGUCAUGACUUGAUUGCUACUUUGAUUAACUUGGUGUUUGAGCACUUGAAAUGAAAAUGAAGUUUUUGGGAAGAAGUUGGUGAUUCAUAUGUUGUGGAUUAAUUGUUGGCACCAAUCAACGUCACGUGUUUAUGCUUAAAGUAGACUUUUUGACUUGAUAUGAUGUUGUCGCACUUUUGAAUUUAGUCCUUUGAAGGAAAUUGUAUGUUUUGAUUUGCUUGAGGACAAGAAAAGGUUUAAGUUUGGGGGUUUGAUAAGUUGGUAGUUUUACCAACUUAUCUCUUCUUUAUGCUUAUAAUUUUGUUAUGUUUGAUUGAAAAAAUAGUGCAUUUACUAUGGUUUGCUUAGGUUUAUAUGGUUGACAAUAGCUGUGGAAGAAACCAAGUGAAAAACAAGUCAAAAAGAGACCAAAUUGUCGAAAAUGAAAAAAGUGGCUAAAAAUGGCCAGAAAUACAAAUUCGAAAAUCUAGAAAAUGUGGAGGUUGUUUUUGUCAUUUUUCGUGAGAAAAUUGGGGGAACUACAAAAGCAAGACAUGGAGACAUUAUUUUCAUCUUUGGCCAUAUUUCCAAGCCUUGGAAGCUAGGUUCUUCGACCAACACUUUGGAAGAGAAGAUUGGAGCACCUUAAUGAGCAAACUCUUAAUACUUUCUUCAAUUCCUUGUUAUGUAUUGCAUAUUUAAGUGUGUUGUAUUUAUUCUCUCACUUGAAUCUUGUUUAUAACAAUAUUCAUUAUCAAGUGUAGAAUUAAAUCUCUUGUUUUGCUUAUGUAUUGAACAAUUCAUAUUGCUAAUGAAGUGGAUUUUUGUUUUUUUAA
Molecule: long non-coding RNA, 3274 nt
Organism: Lycium barbarum (goji berry)
Lineage: Eukaryota; Viridiplantae; Streptophyta; Magnoliopsida; Solanales; Solanaceae
Exons: 2
Source: RefSeq, a predicted model, not a curated record